UUGCACGCUGGCGGCAUGCCUUACACAUGCAAGUCGCACGGCAGCACGGGUGCUUGCACCUGGUGGCGAGUGGCGAACGGGUGAGUAAUACAUCGGAACAUGUCCUGUAGUGGGGGAUAGCCCGGCGAAAGCCGGAUUAAUACCGCAUACGAUCUACGGAUGAAAGCGGGGGACCUUCGGGCCUCGCGCUAUAGGGUUGGCCGAUGGCUGAUUAGCUAGUUGGUGGGGUAAAGGCCUACCAAGGCGACGAUCAGUAGCUGGUCUGAGAGGACGACCAGCCACACUGGGACUGAGACACGGCCCAGACUCCUACGGGAGGCAGCAGUGGGGAAUUUUGGACAAUGGGCGAAAGCCUGAUCCAGCAAUGCCGCGUGUGUGAAGAAGGCCUUCGGGUUGUAAAGCACUUUUGUCCGGAAAGAAAUCCUUGGCUCUAAUACAGUCGGGGGAUGACGGUACCGGAAGAAUAAGCACCGGCUAACUACGUG
This 485-nucleotide ribosomal RNA is filed under the name uncultured bacterium. RNAcentral's name for it is "partial 16S ribosomal RNA". It matches the Rfam family "Bacterial small subunit ribosomal RNA", at positions 30 to 507 of the family's 1533-position model. The record is from RNAcentral.